This 468-nucleotide ribosomal RNA is filed under the name uncultured bacterium. RNAcentral's name for it is "partial 16S ribosomal RNA". It matches the Rfam family "Bacterial small subunit ribosomal RNA", at positions 28 to 507 of the family's 1533-position model. The record is from RNAcentral.
GACGAACGCUGGCGGCGUGCUUAACACAUGCAAGUCGAACGGAAAGGCCCUGCUUUUGUGGGGUGCUCGAGUGGCGAACGGGUGAGUAACACGUGAGUAACCUGCCCUUGACUUUGGGAUAACUUCAGGAAACUGGGGCUAAUACCGGAUAGGAGCUCCUGCUGCAUGGUGGGGGUUGGAAAGUUUCGGCGGUUGGGGAUGGACUCGCGGCUUAUCAGCUUGUUGGUGGGGUAGUGGCUUACCAAGGCUUUGACGGGUAGCCGGCCUGAGAGGGUGACCGGCCACAUUGGGACUGAGAUACGGCCCAGACUCCUACGGGAGGCAGCAGUGGCGAAUCUUGCACAAUGGGCGGAAGCCUGAUGCAGCAACGCCGCGUGCGGGAUGACGGCCUUCGGGUUGUAAACCGCUUCCGCCUGUGACGAAGCGUGAGUGACGGUAAUGGGUAAAGAAGCACCGGCUAACUACGUG